RNAcentral lists this small RNA (147 nucleotides) under Macaca fascicularis (crab-eating macaque). Its description in RNAcentral is "Metazoan signal recognition particle RNA (ENSMFAG00000055355.1)". The record is from Rfam by way of RNAcentral. Lineage: Eukaryota; Metazoa; Chordata; Mammalia; Primates; Cercopithecidae.
GCCGGGUGUGGUGGUGCGCGCCUGUAGUCCCAGCUACUUGGAGGCUGAGGCAGGAGAAUGGCAUGAACCCGGGAGGCGGAGCUUGCAGUGAGCCGAGAUCUGGCCACUGCACUCUAGCCUGGGCGACAGAGCCAGACUCCGUCUCAA